AUUAUCUCCAAGCUGGGCGGGUACUAAUUCAAAGGAUACACUGUAUUGUGAUUGGAUAUGUGUCUGUACUGUACCUGUAUUCCAUCAGGUCCACAGGAGGCUGUCCUUGGACCUGAGGAAUCACAUAAAUUGCCAUGCUAUGUGCCAGUAAAACCAGUUCGUUUUGACCCUCAACUUGCAGCCUCGACUUUGUAGGGAUCCGGGAUAUUGAUGCUUAUAUCGUGCUUGGGGAUAUUCUACAUUUGCAGUUUACUACCGACAGACCUCCGUUCGACUCUCUGCAGCGGGAACCAGGACAUCCAAGCGAUCAACCCUCCUGCUAGACCGGGGGCAAUCGUAACAAUACUCUAUAUUAGAGGAGGUAAAGGAGAUCUCACAGUGGGGUUAGCAGGAGAUACUCUAUAUUAGAGGAGGUAAAGGAGAUCUCACGGUGGGGUUAGGAGGGGGAUACUCUAUAUUAGAGGAGGUAAAGGAGAUCUCACGGUGGGGUUAGGAGGGGGAUACUCUAUAUUAGAGGAGGUAAAGGAGAUCUCACAGUGGGGUUAGCAGGAGAUACUCUAUAUUAGAGGAGGUAAAGGAGAUCUCACGGUGGAUACUCUAUAUUAGAGGAGGUAAAGGGUUAGGAGGGGCAUACUAUAUAUUAGAGGAGGUAAAGGAGAUCUCACAGUGGGGUUAGGAGGAGAUAUUCUAUAUUAGAGGAGGUAAAGGAGAUCUCACGGUGGAUACUCUAUAUUAGAGGAGGUAAAGGAGAUCUCACGGUGGGGUUAGGAGGAGAUACUCUAUAUUAGAGGAGGUAAAGGAGAUCUCACGGUGGGGUUAGGAGGGGGAUACUCUAUAUUAGAGGAGGUAAAGGAGAUCUCACGGUGGG
Molecule: long non-coding RNA, 868 nt
Filed under: Pelobates cultripes (western spadefoot toad)
Lineage: Eukaryota; Metazoa; Chordata; Amphibia; Anura; Pelobatidae
Source: RNAcentral